UUUGUCUUAUAUUACAAUAGGAUGAAAGUAUAAUGGAAAUCAUUUGAUCACCUCAAGAUGAGUGAAACAACUGAAGUUACAUAUGGACUCCCAUGGAUGUUAGCAAGCGACAAUAGAAAUGUGCUCAAAAAUUACAGCAAAGAACAUCAAAUAAUUCUGAAUACAGAGCAGAAUAUUAGGUUGCACAAAACUCCAAAGAGAAAAACUUAGAAGUAGCUAUUGUAUGCUGAUUACAUUUGUGAAUCCAGAGAGAAAAUAACGAAAUAUUUCCUAGGUAGAUUGCAAACGAACAACCACCAACCUAAAUUCAGAUACACAGAGUGCUUGAAAAAUAUGGUAAGAAUUGCGUAUUUCCUAAGAUUAACAGCUAAAAAUGGAACACACAAUACUAAAGUACUUGAAGAUUGUAUUUCUGUAAAGUAAUAAUUCUGUUGGGAAACAUCACCUGCUGAUCACCUGGGGAACAGUGUGAGAUGAAGAUUAAGUAUAUUUCUACAAUUUCUGACACAUUUCUAGGUCAAGCAGAAGAAAAAACUAUGAUAUUGCAUUUAAAUGGAAACGGAAAAUGAUGUUCUGCUAUAGAACCACAUAGGAACUUUCCCAUAUCCCUUGGAAAGUAGCUAGUUAGGAGGUAAUUUUUCAAUUUCUUUUAGUAUCUUAGAGGUAUUGCCUGAUAAAAUAGUAAAAAAAAGAACAAAAAAUCUUGGAGGUAAAUGGAUAAAAUCAGAUGCAAGUUUUUAAAAAAUUUAGACCAUACGAAAUAUACCCAGAAAAAUAACUUUUAGUUCUAGUAACACUAAAUUAGAUUUUAAAAGUGAAAAUCAAUACGGAAAAAGUACAGUUUCUGACUUAGGAUAUAACAGAAUAUUUUCAUGUUUUCCCUCUCUCAUAAAGCCUGCAUUAAGGGGAAUUUUACACAGUGAAUAGGUAUUGGUGUAUGAACCACAUAUGACGUUUUCAUUCCAGUUAGUUUGGAUAGUGGCCCAUUGCACAUUUAUUGCACAGAAAAUAAGAACAGAAUCUUCACUUUUAAUGCAGUGGAACAGGCUGUUUUAUUUCACAGCUUGCCCAAGUCAUUUAUAGCUCACCAAAAAAAAUUUACUUAACACAUGGUGGCAUAUGUAACUCCAUAAAGCUUUUUUUGAGAAGGAGGUGGAAGAUGGCAUUUGUAUACACAAAUAUAUCCAUACACAUUCUCAGGCUAACGCAAUAUGUUAGCACUCUUUUGUGUUAUAAACACAAAAUAGGCACAUUAUCAUGGUAACUGAAGAUGAAUAUUUUUGUAAGAACCUGCCUAUUCUUUCUCCACAUCAUGAUUUCCAGAUUCCCCCUCAGAUUUAUCCUGCAGUUCUUGGUCUCUUCAGUGAAAUAUGCUUAAAAUCUUGCUCAUACCUCCCUGGAGCUGCUCACUGGUGUGCACCGUCAUGUGCACUGCACAGCCUGGGUACCAGAGCAGAUGCUUCUACACUGACUGUUCGUGUGGAAGACAGUGUGGCAGCUGACAUAUUUAUCUCCUUUAUUUCAUGAGACCCCUUUAUAUGGGCAUGAAGAGGAUUUCUCAGUACACAGAUCACAGGAUGACAGAGGCUGUACCUCUUCCCCAUAGCUAACACAAUGGAAGAAGGCUAAUACACAUAUUACUCCUGGGAAUUCCUUCAUGAGAAAGGAUAAUACAGUUUGCAAGGUCUACAAAACCUUUACUAGAAUAUUCUGGAGUUUUCUGACUAAGCUGACACUCAAAGAACCAGUGGAAAUGCCAGAAAGUGAGCCUUUGGUCCAUGGCAGAACUGCACGGAGAAGUGCUUGGAAUUCAGUACACAUACUGGAUGGAAAUUUAAAGAAAAAGUGAACAACUGCACUCUGUUGGAAGGCAUGGGUGAGGAGUCACUCAGUUCCUAUAAGAAAUUUGCUAUUUUGUGUCUGGAAGUCUGUAAGCAAGGCCAAGCACAGACUAUGACAAGCUUUGCAAGUAUUUGUUGACUCCAACUAUGGAAUGAUUGAAGGCAUGUCAUGCUUACUGAUGUUUCUUAUAACACAUUUUGUAUCUUCUAAAAGAACAUUCAUUUCAUAUGGACCUAUGAAAUGCCAAAAGUUUAUCUUAAAUGUGCACAGCAUAUUCAAAAUGAGAAAUUUCAAAAUUUACUUAUAACAAACUAUUUCAUUUAAAAUGCUAUUUAUAUCUAUACAACUCUUUCCUAUUAGAAAUAAUUGCAGCUAAAACUAUCUUGUAGAUAACCAGUUCUGAAAUUCAAGAAAAUAAUUUCCUGCAUAUUUCUUAAUUUGAAAAACAGUUGGUAGGUGGAAAAUACCAUGUAUAAUCAGUUGGCUGAGUAGAUAGGGUACAUAAACCAAUCAUGAUCUAACACUGAAUCAAUAUAUUAAUCAUGUGUUUUUAAUUGUUUCUUUCAAUCCUUACAGGGAAAACAUCUGUUAUUUUGUCUGUAAUGUCUGUAAUAUUCCAGAGACAUUUCAUAAGCAAACUUUAAACAAAAGAUAUUGCACUUUCCGAAAUGAAUAAAGAAAUUGGUUUGCAUAAGUCAAUGAAGAUCACAAUAUGCAUCAUAAGAUUUACUGAAAUUUAAGAUUAACUUUCUCAUCUGCUCAAGGCAGAAUGUCAAGUAUAAGAUAACAUGCAACAAUGCAUAUCAUAAAAAUAACUAACACAGUGUCGAAGAACAAAACUCUGAAUUAUUUUAUAUUCUUAACUAGUAUGAAAAUACAGAAAAUGACAAGAUGAUAUGUAUAGAGAAACGAAGAUUAUCAUAGCAAUACUCAGUUAUUUAUAUUGACCAUUUGGUUGUUUCAGCAAAGUAAGUAGUACUGUUUACUGAUAUUUGCUUACUUGGUACAUUUUCAUAUCACAAAAACCAUUCCCAACAAAACAGUAACACAUUUCUCAAGUCAGUAAACAACUAAAAAAAGCAACUUUAUUUUUUCCCCUGUUUAUUCCACUAGCGUACAUUCCAAUGUUGUACUCUGUGAGCUGAACAUGAACUCUGUUGCCACAGUAUUGAUCAAACUGCCUAAAAGCCAGUUUUCAUUGCCAUUUGGGAGUCCUAUCUUGCCUUCCCUCCUGCUGCUUGUCUUAAACAUCUUGGUUGUGGUGGCAUGAGCAAAAGUUUCAGUUCAACCACUCUCCUGAAUAAUACACAAAUACUUGGAAGAAUUCUUGAUUCCGUAAAGGAAUUCUUUCAGAUUCUAAGUGGAAAUUAGUGACCCUGAUAUAAGACUUUUUAUCCAAGAAAUAGUGAUCAUGAUUAAAGUGAUACAUUUUUUAUUCAGCAUUGUUUAAAAAGAAAAAAAAAAAAAAAAAAAGAAUAUUCUUUUGAGAGAAUAAUAUUCAUCCAUAUUCCCUAAUGCCUUCUUGGAAUAAAAGCAAUAAUUUAAGAAAAUUUGUCUUAUGGAUGCAGCAAGGAAAACAGGAAGGAUAUUCACAAAAAACCUUUUGUCAUGAAGAGUCAAAUCGGUCAGAAGGAAAAGAGAAACAGUCCAGUGUUGUCACCACUUCAGCUAUCCUUCUAGAGUGAACAGAUAUGGAGGAAAAGGGAAAAAAAGAAGGAGAAUAAUACAAAAAGCAUGACUGAGACGUUCUGUGAAUAGAACAGCCUCAGCUUUCUCCUGGUCAUUAAAUUGCAGAAACUGUGUUUUCUUUCAAAUGUAUGUUCCACUUCUCAGGUAUGUGUUUAGAAGUGAUAACUCAGGUGUCAAAACAGACUGAGAAAGACAGUCCAAUUUGUAAUCCAAACAGAAAAAUGUCUUUUAGCUAGUGUUCAGCAUUAAGCUUUGAGAUUUUGCCUUUAAUUGUUUGAAAAAGAGUUAUCUGGACUGGCAGUCUUGCGACAAGCCCUGAGCAACAAAGAGGGCUGACACCAUCCUACACAGCAGUGCAAGUCCACACAAGCAGGUGAAACUACAGAUCUGCUUUGGGUAUUUAUCAUCCCAGACUAUUCAUGUCACACGUCUUCAGGCAGAAGUCUAUUAUUCUCUCUCUCUUGUCUUCUGAUUCAGUGUACCAUACUCUCACUGCCCCAAAAUUGCUGUUUACACACUUUUCAGAAGAUUUUGCUAGCAAUAAAAAGUACUGUUCCAACUUGAUCUAUGAAAUUCUACAGAGCUAACUACAUUCUUUUGAUGGGGCUGUUAGCUGCAUGUUUUGUGAACUGCCAACAGAAUAAAGAUACAGAAUAAAUAGCCAGUGAGAAAUGCCCCAGGACAGUUCUGAUAGUCUCCUCCCUUCAUUCUCCUUUACUCCAAAAAUUACUUUAAAUCAUGGUCUCAGCUAUUUCAGCUGCAUUUGUAUAUCAGGCACAGCUUUGACUACUCACCAAGAAGUGAUAUUUUGUGAGUUUUCUGCACAAUGUUGUGCAAAGCAAUUUACCAUUUGAAGUGAAUAACGGUGGCAAAAUAGCACUAAUCUGAAAAUGUGGUGAUGGUAUUUCUUUACUCAGCAAAGCAAUUCCAAUUUUUUUUUUUUUUAAUGUCCUUCAUAAGCUUCAGCUACCAUCUAAUGGACUUUUGAAAUAGAAGUUAUCAGAUGAAGAAUCCAAGCAAUUUCCUGAAAUUACAUGUCAGUUUAAAAUGGUGGAAGAGUAAAUAGCAGGAAUAGUCAAAGCAAAAUGUGCCAACUUUUAGACUAAACAGGACUCAAAAUACAGCCUGAAAUUAUUGCUAUCUGCAGAGAGAGAGGACAUACUGUUCUUGUUUUGAUAAUGAUUCUUGGAAAUGGGUUAUUUGUAGCAACAUGAAACCCUUUUAUUUUGGAAAUUAAGAAACUGGUGGAGGAGUUUAUAUAAAACAGCUUUGGGCAGUAAAUUACGUAAGUGUGAAGGUAGUAUCCUAAAUUAUUGUAGGAACUAAAAAGAUAUUGCCUAUCAAAAUGUGAAAAUGGGAGUACAGAUGAGGAGAUAUUUAAAUCCACAGUCAAUCCAAUACAAAAGAUUUACAGAACCUAGGAAUCAGCUUCCAUUCACUUUACGUUGUUGUGAACACUAGUUUGUGAUAAAGACAAUUCCUGCUGAUUUUAAUAUUUUAUUUUAUUUUAUUUUAUUAUUUUAUUUUAUUUUAUUUUAUUUUAUUUUAAUAUUAAGUGGUUAGAAAUUACACUGUGCUGGCUCAGACCUGUAUUAUGGAUUUUAUGCUGCUAACAAUAUCCUACUGGCAAAUACAUCAGAUCACAUUUUGCUGUAGCUUUAACCUUUUGUUAUACUGACACUUGAGACAAAGUUGAGUACUUUCCUCCUGGUGCUUUUUCUACAUAUGUCAAGCAACACGAGAAGUACAGACUAAAGCAGAUAAAGGCUCUGAUCUCUCUUUUGGCAUCUACGAUGAUCUGCAUGUUCAAGCAAGAGUGUGUUGACUCAGUAUAUCUCUCAUGAGUGCCAGUUUGGAAGAGUAGGAAAAAAAAAUCAUUAGAGUACAAUAAUAUUCAGGUCUAGACCAUUUACUUAGGUACUCAAAUACUGAUAUACUGUGUUCCAAGUACCCUAGGAAGAACCAGAGUAGUCUUCUAGAAAUUCUCUUAUUUGGUUUUAAAAUAUGUUCUUCCAUUGAAUAUUUGUUAUUUUAAAGUAAUAAAUUUAAACAAUGUAAAUAGUAUAUUUGGGGGCAAAACUAACACUCCUUCUUCAAAUAAAGAUAUUAUUUGCAAUGGAUUAUUAUUGAAUUAUACUCAUUAGGCAGGUAUAUAAAAUAUCUGUGUGGAUACCAAAGCUACCUAUGAAACUGCAUACUUUAAAAAUGGCGAUUUGUGUGUGUGGAGCUAGUGUGCCUUCCUAUUUCGUUUGUUGAAUUCACUUCCACUUCUGUUGCUGAAGUGAAAUUACGUUCUUCCUUAUCCUUCUCACUUGCAUUAUUAGAAGUUAUUAAAACUAAGCCAGGUAGUUUACUUAUUUCUAAUUAUUCUCUAUCUUUGAAAAGACUUUCUAGAUAAAAUCAGGAAAUAACUAUUGCAGAUGCACCUACAUUUUUAUAUACACAUAUACAGAGAGCCAGUAAUUAUAAUCAUAAUAUUUGAAAUUGUUUAAUUAUCUGGAGAACUCUAAAAUAAUUUAUUAUACUUUAAACAUAAAUGACCUACCAAUAAAUUUCCACAUAACAGGCGAGAUCAUUCUAUGGGAUAAAUUAUUGACAAAAAAGCAGACCGUGGGCUGAUUUAUGCUAUCUGAAAAGCUGACUAAUAAACCCUGAUAACCCAGGAUAAACCCUGAUACACAGUUUAUGUUGAAAGGAAUAUGAUUAAUUUUAUGUGAAUGUUUAAUUGGCUCUGAUUCAAAUUUUUCACAGAAAUGAAUUCAAAUUAACUUAAACUUCUGUUUCCCUGUGGCUUGCAUCCCUUGCUGCUUCUGCCUUAAAAGGGUUUAUUCUGAAAAUUUAUUGUUCCUUUUUGAAGGGUGUGAGGGGAAUGUACGUUGUGCAAUUUGUUUAGUUGCAGAUUGCACUCUUAUCUCUCACAGGCAACAAGGACGCUACUCUUCAGGGUAUAUUUUUAAUUAAGUACUGUAGUUGAAUAUUGGCUUUUACAAAUGUGCUGAACAAAAUCUUCUGUUGUGGCUUCACUUUAAUUUUAAAACAGAUCAAUUUAAAUACAUUUUUUACUGUUUAAAAUAAAGAAAUAGUUCAGUCUAAUAACCUUAAGGUGAUGUAUAUCCUCCUCAUUAACAGUACUGUGAGUAAUAUUUUUGUUUAUGAUUUCCUUUUUACUUCUCAUCAGACAUAUAAUUAACUCACUAACUAGCAAAAUGUAUUCUGUGGGAAAGGUCAUAGGUCUAGAAGUAGAGAACGAUUUCUCUGGUGCAUUCUUUUGUUUGGUUUUGUUUAAGUGGCAAUCCAAUGCAAGAGAAAAAAAAAACAAAAGAAAACAACCACAACACUAAGUUAAAGGACGUAACCCCUUCUAAGGGUUCUCUUAAGUUAUGUGUGAACGACUGAUAAAUAUACAGAUAAAUCUAUAUAAAUAAUCUAAAUAUAAAUCUAUCAAUAGAUUUUUUUCCCCAUCACCAUUGUGGAAACACCAUAUAUUGCUACUACUUGGCCUGAAGAAACAAACAGCUGUCUUGAAAUGUGCUGUUCUCCAACACAUUCAGAUAAAUUGAUGUGAUAAUAAUAAAAAUGUUCUACAUUAUCUGUAAUGGCUUUCUUAAGAAAGGGCUUUUACCUUUAGUGACAAAAAAGGCAAAAUCAGCCCGUACUAACUUGCUAAGUCAACUGUUCUAUUUCAUAGAACCAGAUGCCAAUAAAUUAAAUAGUGAUGGGGGUGGGUAACAAAACCAAGAAGCAUCCCUCCAGGAACGGACUUUCAAACUGAUGAUGCCCUAAUACUCAUCAUUUACAAUUGUCUCAACUUUUAGAAUUGUUGAAUUAAAGAAGAAAUCUCUUUCCCUCAGCUCCCCUUUUUCACUCAAAGAAAUUUGAAAGCAGAUUUAUCUUGGUGUCUUUUCCAUUUAAGCUCAUAACCUUUCCUGUUUUAAUUUAAACAUUUCACUGAAGAUAACUGAUCAAUUACCCUCAAAAUUGUAAUUAUUAGCCCACCUUACAUAAAUAAAUUAGAACAAACUAGUUUUUGAAUAGUAAGAAGCCCAAAGUUCUCACAGGUCUGAAACCAAACUUGUCAAAAUUGUGAAGGCCAUUGUGCAUUACCUGUAUUUGUCCAAGUAAAAACACGAAAGUACCAUGUCUUCUUAUAGUAAUUCCAACCUCAUUUAUCACUGAUAUAAAUGAUGGCUCUCAUUCCUAGGGCUUUGUAACAUGCUUCUAAAAUUGCUCUCAGACAACUGUAUAUUGAUUCAUAAAAUAAUAUGUGUGAAACUUGCUUCAACUUCAUAUCAUAAGGAAAAGGGUUUAACAUUGUUUCUCUCAGCCAAAAUACAUUGUUAGACUAUAAUUCUUAGUGACAAAUGUCUACACACAUGGCACCAUAAAAAAUCAUGAUCUAUGUAGAUUUCUAUGGAAGAUGUUCCAGGAAUAGGAUGGAUCUUUCAGUUAUGGUACCUGAACUAGAGUCACGAUCUACUCCAGCCUUUGCCUGAACUGGGUGUCAGAAGCUGAGCUGUAGAGUCUGGCUACACAUGUGAACAUAAGAAUAUAAUUUUAAAGAAGUUUUCUUAAAGAUUUCAGAGAAGAUACAACUCGUUCUUUCUAACUGCAAUAUUUAAAAUUACUAAUUAUAUUUACCCUUGUUAAUUUGUCAUUUCUCCCUCACACUAUUUAAUGACCCAUUGUCAUUAAUCAUUUGAAAUAUCAUGCCCUCUUUUUCUCUUACAUUCUCAGCUACACUUUAUUGCCCAUGGUAUAUAAUAGUGUUAACCAAAAAAUCUACAAUAAUUCAUGUAAGGUUGGAAAGGGAAUACACACAAGAGAAGAUCUGAGAGUCCAAUCUCUAAGUUUAUUUGGAUAAUCCCUCUGAUUCUUUGGAAAUAACCAAAAUGCUCCAGAAGUCAAUAGAACAGUGUCAAUUUGAAUCAGCUGAGAUUCUGGCUCUUUAUUUGUGUUGAAUGGUUAAGUUGAUGAUAUAUAGCAUUUAGAUUUGAUGAACAGAUGUCUACAGGUGGAAAGUAAGAGACUGAUUGGAGAGUUGUCAAAAGAUUGAGCUAUACAUGGAUCAAAACUUUCCUUUCCACUGGUGGGUUAAAAAAAUUAUCUAUGCCUAUGGCAUAACAAUAUUGGAGAGAAAAAAUACAUUGUUAAUGUCCCAAUUAGAAUUCCAGAAACAAAAUGUGCAAUUAGUUUUUUUGUCACAAGGUAUGUUUAAUCAUGCUUAAACAGACUAACUUGGUCGUAUGCUCUCAUUAGCUGACAACAUGAGGAAAACUAUAAGAAUUUUCAAGAGAAGUCCUCCAGUGGAAUGGAAGCAGAUAUGCUUUUCGUUUCAUAACAUCUCUUAGCAUAGGUUGUUUUUUUUUU
This is a long non-coding RNA of Lagopus muta (rock ptarmigan), 8898 nucleotides long. RefSeq lists it as uncharacterized. The record is from RefSeq and is a predicted model, not a curated record. The transcript has 7 exons. NCBI's taxonomy places the organism in Eukaryota, Metazoa, Chordata, Aves, Galliformes, Phasianidae.